CCUACGGGAGGCUGCAGUGGGGAAUAUUGGACAAUGGGCGAAAGCCUGAUCCAGCCAUGCCGCGUGUGUGAAGAAGGCCUUCGGGUUGUAAAGCACUUUCAGUGGGGAAGAAAGCCUUGGGGCUAAUACCCUCGAGGAAGGACAUCACCCACAGAAGAAGCACCGGCUAACUCCGUGCCAGCAGCCGCGGUAAUACGGAGGGUGCGAGCGUUAAUCGGAAUUACUGGGCGUAAAGCGCGCGUAGGCGGUCUGAUAAGUCGGUUGUGAAAGCCCCGGGCUCAACCUGGGAACGGCAUCCGGAACUGUCAGGCUAGAGUGCAGGAGAGGAAGGUAGAAUUCCCGGUGUAGCGGUGAAAUGCGUAGAGAUCGGGAGGAAUACCAGUGGCGAAGGCGGCCUUCUGGACUGACACUGACGCUGAGGUGCGAAAGCGUGGGUAGCAAACAGGAUUAGAUACCCGAGUAGUC
This 465-nucleotide ribosomal RNA is filed under the name Vreelandella stevensii. RNAcentral describes it as "partial 16S ribosomal RNA". It matches the Rfam family "Bacterial small subunit ribosomal RNA", at positions 338 to 795 of the family's 1533-position model. Lineage: Bacteria; Pseudomonadati; Pseudomonadota; Gammaproteobacteria; Oceanospirillales; Halomonadaceae. The record is from RNAcentral.